Molecule: ribosomal RNA, 580 nt
Filed under: uncultured rumen bacterium
Lineage: Bacteria
Description: bacterial SSU rRNA
Rfam family: Bacterial small subunit ribosomal RNA
Source: RNAcentral
AGGGCCGCAUGGCCCAGGGAGGAAAGCCGAGACGGUGAAGGAUGGCUCCGCGUCGGAUUAGCCAGUUGGCGGGGUAACGGCCCACCAAAGCGAUGAUCCGUAGCCGGCCUGAGAGGGCGACCGGCCACAUUGGGACUGAGACACGGCCCAAACUCCUACGGGAGGCAGCAGUGGGGGAUAUUGCACAAUGGGGGGAACCCUGAUGCAGCGACGCCGCGUGAAGGAGGAAGUGCUUCGGCAUGUAAACUUCUAUCAGCAGGGAAGAAGAUGACGGUACCUGACUAAGAAGCCCCGGCUAACUACGUGCCAGCAGCCGCGGUAAUACGUAGGGGGCAAGCGUUAUCCGGAUUUACUGGGUGUAAAGGGAGCGUAGACGGCAAUGCAAGUCUGAUGUGAAAACCCGGGGCUCAACCGCGGGAUUGCAUUGGAAACUGUAUAGCUCGAGUACUGGAGGGGCAGGCGGAAUUCCUGGUGUAGCGGUGAAAUGCGUAGAUAUCAGGAGGAACACCGGUGGCGAAGGCGGCCUGCUGGACAGAAACUGACGUUGAGGCUCGAAAGCGUGGGGAGCAAACAGGAUUAG